This 323-nucleotide long non-coding RNA is filed under the name Bos taurus (domestic cattle). Its description in RNAcentral is "long non-coding RNA NONBTAT019020". Lineage: Eukaryota; Metazoa; Chordata; Mammalia; Artiodactyla; Bovidae. The record is from RNAcentral.
UGCCAAUUUAUUAUCUGAUUUUUCCCUCAGAAAGAUACUUUCAGCUGUUAAUUUAUGAAAAUUGAGUCCUUAAGGUAGCUUAUCAAGUGUGUGGUCAGAAUUUCUUAAUUGUAAAGAUUUUGUCACUACUGGUUGCUCAAAACGUAAAUUAUAAACAGCUAUAUAUGUAAGUUCUUAAGAAUUAUCUUCUCUUAAAUUCUUGCAAAUUUAGGACCUCUUGAAUGGUGAUUCAUAUCCUCCGUACUGUUUAUCAUAUUCACCAUUAGUUAAUAUUAAAAAUGCAUGAUCCUAUAUUUUUAGUAUUCUUAACUCUUUUAUUUUUU